UAUACACCAAAAUCGUCGACAGUGGGGGCGACACUCGGAGGCGGCGUAACCAAUUCGAUGUCGAGCCAGAUGCCGUCGAUGAGAUUUCGUCCCUCGGGGUCGGAGUUGACAACUUUGCGCAAUCGGAGGAUGGCGCAUCCUGUCUUGAUCAUGGAAACCGGGCGAGGACCGGAAGGGAGCAACCUCACCAUGGACUACCGACGCUCGUGGGGUUGCGGGAUCGAGUAGGCCUUUGGAGCACUCGAUAUCGGGUCUGAGCGUCCACUCCCUGGUGUCUA
This 278-nucleotide signal recognition particle RNA is filed under the name Thermoplasmata archaeon. Its description in RNAcentral is "signal recognition particle sRNA". It matches the Rfam family "Archaeal signal recognition particle RNA", at positions 33 to 317 of the family's 317-position model. The record is from RNAcentral. Lineage: Archaea; Methanobacteriati; Thermoplasmatota; Thermoplasmata.